GCGGCGUGCUUAACACAUGCAAGUCGAGCGAAGCGAUUAAAUGAGACUUCGGUGGAUUUUAAAUUGACUGAGCGGCGGACGGGUGAGUAACGCGUGGAUAACCUGCCUCACACAGGGGGAUAAUAGUUAGAAAUGACUGCUAAUACCGCAUAAGCGCACGGUACCGCAUGGUACAGUGUGAAAAACUCCGGUGGUGUGAGAUGGAUCCGCGUCUGAUUAGGUAGUUGGUGAGGUAACGGCCCACCAAGCCGACGAUCAGUAGCCGACCUGAGAGGGUGACCGGCCACAUUGGGACUGAGACACGGCCCAAACUCCUACGGGAGGCAGCAGUGGGGAAUAUUGCACAAUGGGCGAAAGCCUGAUGCAGCAACGCCGCGUGAGUGAAGAAGUAUCUCGGUAUGUAAAGCUCUAUCAGCAGGGAAGAAAAUGACGGUACCUGACUAAGAAGCCCCGGCUAACUACGUGCCAGCAGCCGCGGUAAUACGUAGGGGGCAAGCGUUAUCCGGAUUUACUGGGUGUAAAGGGAGCGCAGACGGCACUGCAAGUCUGAAGUGAAAGCCCGGGGCUCAACCCCGGGACUGCUUUGGAAACUGUAGAGCUAGAGUGCUGGAGAGGCAAGCGGAAUUCCUAGUGUAGCGGUGAAAUGCGUAGAUAUUAGGAAGAACACCAGUGGCGAAGGCGGCUUGCUGG
RNAcentral lists this ribosomal RNA (690 nucleotides) under uncultured Lachnospiraceae bacterium. Its description in RNAcentral is "bacterial SSU rRNA". It matches the Rfam family "Bacterial small subunit ribosomal RNA", at positions 39 to 732 of the family's 1533-position model. The record is from RNAcentral. Lineage: Bacteria; Bacillati; Bacillota; Clostridia; Lachnospirales; Lachnospiraceae.